ACGAAGGGGGCUAGCGUUGCUCGGAAUCACUGGGCGUAAAGGGCGCGUAGGCGGCCUUGUAAGUUGGGGGUGAAAGCCCGUGGCUCAACCACGGAAUUGCCUUCGAUACUGCUUGGCUUGAGUGUGGUAGAGGUUGGUGGAACUGCGAGUGGCGAGCUGAAAUGCGUAGCUCUGCGCAAGAAGGCCGAUGGCGGAGGCAGCCAACUGGAUCAUACCUCCCUCUGAUUCGCGAUAGCGUGGCUUGCAAAAAG
RNAcentral lists this ribosomal RNA (251 nucleotides) under uncultured prokaryote. Its description in RNAcentral is "partial 16S rRNA". It matches the Rfam family "Bacterial small subunit ribosomal RNA", at positions 525 to 775 of the family's 1533-position model. The record is from RNAcentral.